AGAACGAACGCUGGCGGCAUGCCUAACACAUGCAAGUCGAACGCUUUUGGGGCUUCGGUCCCAAAGGAGUGGCGCACGGGUGAGUAGCGCGUGGGAACCUGCCCUGUUGUGGGGGAUAACCGAGGGAAACUUCGGCUAAUACCGCAUACGCCCGGGGGAAACUCCGGGGAAAGAUUUAUCGCAGCAGGAGGGGCCCGCGUCGGAUUAGGUAGUUGGUGGGGUAACGGCCCACCAAGCCUGUGAUCCGUAGCUGGUCUGAGAGGAUGAUCAGCCACACUGGGACUGAGACACGGCCCAGACUCCUACGGGAGGCAGCAGUGGGGAAUAUUGGACAAUGGGGGCAACCCUGAUCCAGCAAUGCCGCGUGAGUGAUGAAGGCCUUAGGGUUGUAAAGCUCUUUCGCGCGCGACGAUGAUGACGGUAGCGCGAGAAGAGCCCCGGCUAACUUCGUGCCAGCAGCCGC
Molecule: ribosomal RNA, 463 nt
Filed under: uncultured bacterium
Lineage: Bacteria
Description: SSU rRNA
Rfam family: Bacterial small subunit ribosomal RNA
Source: RNAcentral